GUGGGGAAUAUUGGGCAAUGGGCGAAAGCCUGACCCAGCAACGCCGCGUGAAGGAAGAAGGCCCUCGGGUUGUAAACUUCUUUUAAGAGGGACGAAAGAAAUGACGGUACCUCUUGAAUAAGCCACGGCUAACUACGUGCCAGCAGCCGCGGUAAUACGUAGGUGGCGAGCGUUAUCCGGAUUUACUGGGUGUAAAGGGCGUGUAGGCGGGAGUGCAAGUCAGAUGUGAAAAUUAUGGGCUCAACCCAUAACCUGCAUUUGAAACUGUUCUUCUUGAGUGAUGGAGAGGCAGGCGGAAUUCCGUGUGUAGCGGUGAAAUGCGUAGAUAUACGGAGGAACACCAGUGGCGAAGGCGGAUUACUGGACGAUAACUGACGCUGAGGCGCGAAAGCGUGGGGAGCAAACAGGAUUAGAUACCCGUGUAGUCC
Molecule: ribosomal RNA, 428 nt
Filed under: uncultured bacterium
Lineage: Bacteria
Description: partial 16S ribosomal RNA
Rfam family: Bacterial small subunit ribosomal RNA
Source: RNAcentral